UAAUAUCUCGCCGCGGCGCGGCGAGCCAUGAGAUCUUCCCGCGGCGUCAAAUAGCAUUGCAGGUGUUUUAUGGGUCCUAUUGAGCAUGCUAUCGUUUUCAGAUGUAUCCUUAUGGUGGAAUGCAAUGACAUUUGAUUUUAAAAUGCUUGGAAUAAAAGGAGAUGUUACGUAAAGCUUGGUUUCCAACAAAAGAAAAAACCGGGCAAGGCAGACUUUCAACAUAUCAACAGCUUCCCUUACGUUGAUUCUCCAGGAGAGAGAAUGCUUCCUGAGGCACUUAGACAACUUUACUACUUUGGUGCAAUCAACAAGAAUGGGCGCAUCACUUCCCUUGGGAGUCUGAUGGUUGAAUACCCCUUGCCACCCGGCCUAGCCAGGGCCGUCAUCUACUCUGGUGCCCUCCAGUGUCACGAGUUGAUGCUGCCAAUAGCGGCCAUGCUCUCCGUGGAGAACAUCUUCAUAAGACCAGGAGAUGCCGAGAAACAGAAAGAAGCGGCCAAUUGAGGCUCACGCAACACUUGCCAAGAUGGCUGGAAGCAACAAUGACUUUGCCACACUCCUUGCCGUGUACAGACGUUAUGCUGACAGGACAAUAUCAGUGUCAAUGUUUCUAUUGAGGGAAAACCUGCCCUAACCUCACAGAUCAUCACAUUGAGACGUUUAUGUGAUUUGAUUCUUUCCCUGUGAGUCUCCCUCGUCAUGGUGCCAAAGGAACUACAUACACUUGAGAGCAGUUAAGACAGCAUCCAGCAUCCACAAACAGCUGGAAAACAUCUUGAACAGGCAACUGAAGGCAAAGUAUGAGUGGAUUAAGGAGCUGUUGCCACGGUUACACCAACUUGAUGUGUACGCCUUGAGUGGAUGUCUUGCACCCAAGAUUUCUGAUGAAACUGACAUUGUCGAAGCGGAGUUCUCUGACAGAACUGCUAUUGAACAGCCCAAAUCUGAGAAGUCAGGAGAGACGCGGGUUCAGAUCAGCAAAAGAAAUAGCGAGGACUCUGUGGCAGAGGCAAGGAAGUGCUAUUUAGAGCGCAAAAAAGCCAAACUUCAUAGAUGAUCAGAUGACUUUGCCCUGGCUGGCUCUGUAUUGAGGAGACACUUUGGGACCGAGUUGUGGGAUAAAAUUUUGCCCCAUAUAGAAUUCAACACGUCAUGAAACGAAAGGCCGAACUCCAACAUUUUGGCCGAGGAGAGUUGAUUUCCUUUGUAAAAAAAAAUGUUCAGUAUUCAUUGCAAAAACAGUGUACUGUACAUGUACUUGUCCAAAUGUUAAUUUGGAACCUAUUUUGUAAAAAAAAAAAUUACAGUAUUUCUCUGAUUCAACCCUCAUAGUUUUCAAAACAUUUUCCAAGUAGGCCUGAACGAUUCGAUGUUGUCUCUCCUAAAUGUAACUCUUAAAAACUGUUAUCGCUUACUGAUGGCUGAUACAUCAUUGUAGAGAAAAAGACAUGAAAGAAGUACAUGAAACUCUUCCCAAAGAGGCCUAACAUUCUUUUUUAUCUAUGUGAAAUUGUAUCAUACCUCUUAUCAAUGGAAUUGUUAUGCCCCUAACUGCAGUAUCACUCUGAACUACAGUUGGACCAUCCCAACUAAAGUGCUAUAGUUGAGCUAGCCCAGCUACAGCACAGAGGUCCAGAGUAAGCAAGUAGGCGCCAACAUCACUUUGUUUACAUCAACUUGUGCCUGUAGAAACAAGUUUUUACUAUUUAAUAGACAAAGUGCCAUAUUUUAGAUGAAUUAUGUCAGGUGUGAAAUGCAUAAAGUUGGAGAAGGUUGAGAAAUUUUGUACAGAGACUGGCCAACAAUAGUUGGGCAGCCCAGCUUCAGCCCAACAGAAUUAUACUAUUGGUCAAUCGUGGUUUGCCUUGUAUGCAGUCUUUCACUUGGAUUAGUAACUCGGAACUAAUGUUUUUUUCUUGUUAUAAUGUCCAGGAUGAAGAGAUUGCGUCAUUGGAACAGUGACCGAUGUAGACCGAUGGCUUCGAUGGGAAGACCAGUCAGCCCGUCAUCAUGGCAGCUGCUGUCACUGCCUUUUUCCUGUCAGUCUUUCUCCUCCCUGGUCUUUGGUUACAUCAGAGUGCAGGCGUAGUCGGGAAAGAUUCCAAACUUCUAAUUCAUGACAAUAACUGACCGCCAAGUUGGGCAAUUCGGUGAAAAGCUAUGCAAAAGAGGAAAUAUCAAAAGAGCAUAUGUCUAUUCCAAGUUGUUUUGCACUGUGUGUAGUUUCAUGUCAGACCAGUGCUGAGAGAUGAGAAAUGUGAGAAAUGAUCUUGAGGACUGAAUAUUAUUCACAAAAAUGGUUCCUCCUGGAAGUUUCUACUUUCGUGUAGACUUUUCUUCACCUCUUUAAGUACAUAAAUGUAGACGAGUUGCAUCUGCAAAGUUACAGCACCAUGUUACUUCAAUAUGCCAAAAUAAACCCACCAUUAAAAACACAUAAUACAAUUUCAAACAGAAUGAGGUAGAGAUUAAAUGGUUGCUGAAUUUUGUCCAGUCUGAGGGACCAUCUUGUCAAAAAGUAAAAUUUAUUAAGUUAGACAAAUUGUUAGAGAACGUUGCCAAAUGUUGUCAGCUAGUAUGUCAUGGGGAAUAAUAUCUACGUGUAUGA
This is an unclassified non-coding RNA of Acanthaster planci (crown-of-thorns starfish), 2608 nucleotides long. Lineage: Eukaryota; Metazoa; Echinodermata; Asteroidea; Valvatida; Acanthasteridae. The record is from RefSeq and is a predicted model, not a curated record.